CCUCAUCAAUCGCUAAUCAGGAUAAUUCUCGCACAGGUUUACCUACAGAGUAAUCUGAUGAAGGUAUUUCCUCAACUGAAGUUCCUGCUUCUUAGAUGACCCUACCUGAUGUCAAGCUGACUGGAAACUAACACAGCUUUAUACCAGACCAUCAAAGAAUUCCUCCUUCAGAAGGGUGAGUUUCAACAGCAGCUACCCAACUUACUCAGCUGACUGGAUGGUGAAUGGCAGGCAAACAUUGGUAGCGCUUUCCCAACUCUGACUCAGUCUCCCUCAUUUCCUCUACUGUCGCUGGUGGUGACUUCACAAGGCGGUCUCUCCUUGGGGACUGCCACUCAUUUCCUAAGAUGUCUCGAUUCAUGCUGGGGUCUGCCAACUGAGGAAGGAAAAGGAGACCUGACACUUGGCAUGCAAGCCCAACCUACAGGGACUGCUGCCCACUGAGGCUACCCUGUAACGUGAGACUUACCUACCUCCUCCCAGCACUGAACUCACAAGAUGCUUGCAUUCACUGGUUUGAUACAUGGGACUCUACCCCCCACCACUCCCGCCACAACCACCCUCUUUCUUUCCCCCUCCUGCCCACAACACAUGUCAGGCACCUUCUCUAGCAAGAAGCUCUGACUGAGAACUGCCUGGACCACGUAUUCCACAAUUUGCUCAUCAGAAUUCUAGUCGUUUGUUGUAACCAUCUAAAUUAUCUAAUAUUUAUAUCAAUAAAGACACGGGAGGCA
Rattus rattus (black rat) is the source of this 734-nucleotide long non-coding RNA. RefSeq lists it as uncharacterized. The record is from RefSeq and is a predicted model, not a curated record. The transcript has 2 exons. Lineage: Eukaryota; Metazoa; Chordata; Mammalia; Rodentia; Muridae.